AUUGAACGCUGGCGGCAGGCCUAACACAUGCAAGUCGAACGAGUGGCGGACGGGUGAGAAAUGUAUGGGACAGUGCCUGAUGGCGGGGGAUAACUACUGGAAACGGUAGCUACUACCGCAUACCCACAGAUGCGCCCAGAUGGGACUAGCUUGUUGGUGGGGUAACGGCUCACCAAGGCGACGAUCACUAGCUGGUCUGAGAGGGUGACCAGCCACACUGGAACUGAGACACGGUCCAGACUCCUACGGGAGGCAGCAGUGGGGAAUAUUGCACAAUGGGCGAAAGCCUGAUGCAGCCAUGCCGCGUGUGUGAAGAAGGCCUUCGGGUUGUAAAGUACUUUCAGCGGGGAGGCGUUACCCGCAGAAGAAGCACCGGCUAACUCCGUGCCAGCAGCCGCGGUAAUUC
This 406-nucleotide ribosomal RNA is filed under the name uncultured bacterium. RNAcentral's name for it is "partial 16S ribosomal RNA". It matches the Rfam family "Bacterial small subunit ribosomal RNA", at positions 30 to 526 of the family's 1533-position model. The record is from RNAcentral.